Molecule: ribosomal RNA, 207 nt
Filed under: uncultured bacterium
Lineage: Bacteria
Description: partial 16S ribosomal RNA
Rfam family: Bacterial small subunit ribosomal RNA
Source: RNAcentral
CUCAGUUCGGAUUGGAGUCUGNAACCCGACUCCAUGAAGCUGGAUUCGCUAGUAAUCGCGCAUCAGCCACGGCGCGGUGAAUACGUUCCCGGGCCUUGUACACACCGCCCGUCAAGCCAUGGAAGCCGGGGGGUGCCUGAAGUGCGCUGCCGCAAGGAGCGUCCUAGGGUAAAACCGGUGACUGGGGCUAAGUCGUAACAAGGUACC